This 697-nucleotide ribosomal RNA is filed under the name unidentified archaeon. RNAcentral's name for it is "partial 16S ribosomal RNA". The record is from RNAcentral.
UGGGUCUCGCUCGUUACCUGACUUAACAGGAUGCUUCACAGUACGAACUGACGACGGCCAUGCACCACCUCUCAGCUAAUCCGGCAAAGUCCGGUUCAGCCUGGCCGGUCAUACUGAUGUCGAGACCCUCCCGGUAAGAUUUCCGGCGUUGAAUCCAAUUAAACCGCAAGCUCCACCCGUUGUGGUGCUCCCCCGCCAAUUCCUUUAAGUUUCAGCCUUGCGGCCGUACUUCCCAGGUGGCUCGCUUCACGGCUUCCCUACGGCACCGACAACGGUCGCACCGUGGCCGACACCUAGCGAGUAUCGUUUACGGCUAGGACUACCCGGGUAUCUAAUCCGGUUCGUGCCCCUAGCUUUCGUCCCUUGCCGUCAGGUCCGUUCUGGUGAGACGCCUUCGCCACUGGUGGUCCUUCAAGGAUUACAAGAUUUCACCCCUACCCCUGAAGUACCUCUCACCUCUCCCGGCCUCGAGCCAGACAGUAUCUCCUGAAAGCCUGACAGUUAAGCUGCCAGAUUUCUCAAGAGACUUAUCCGGCCGGCUACAGACCCUUUAGACCCAAUAAUAACGGUUACCACUCGAGCCGCCGGUGUUACCGCGGCGGCUGGCACCGGUCUUGCCCGGCCCUUGCUAUGAAAUGCUUUUUAGGCAUCUCGACAGCCAGAUUUGUAACCUGGCACUCGAGGUUCCCUUAUCGCU